CGGCCCCCUGUCGCUGGA
RNAcentral lists this unclassified non-coding RNA (18 nucleotides) under Chlamydomonas reinhardtii. RNAcentral's name for it is "small RNA Cre_1312". Lineage: Eukaryota; Viridiplantae; Chlorophyta; Chlorophyceae; Chlamydomonadales; Chlamydomonadaceae. The record is from RNAcentral.